ACGAACGCUGGCGGCGUGCCUAAUACAUGCAAGUCGAACGGUCUUUCUAUGGAAGCUUGCUUCCACUGAGAAGAUAGUGGCGAACGGGUGAGUAACACGUGGGUAGCCUGCCCAUAAGAGGGGGAUAACAUCCGGAAACGGGUGCUAAUACCGCAUAGUUUUCUUGAUCGCAUGAUUGAGAAAGGAAAGACGGCCUUUGUGCUGUCGCUUAUGGAUGGACCCGCGGCGUAUUAGUUAGUUGGUGAGGUAACGGCUCACCAAGACGAUGAUACGUAGCCGACCUGAGAGGGUGAUCGGCCACAUUGGGACUGAGACACGGCCCAAACUCCUACGGGAGGCAGCAGUAGGGAAUCUUCCGCAAUGGACGAAAGUCUGACGGAGCAACGCCGCGUGAGUGAAGAAAAGGUUUUCGGAUCGUAAAACUCUGUUGUCAGAGAAGAACAAGUUGGAGAGUAACUGCUCCAGCCUUGACGGUAUCUGACCAGAAAGCCACGGCUAACUACGUGCCAGCCGCAGC
RNAcentral lists this ribosomal RNA (517 nucleotides) under uncultured bacterium. Its description in RNAcentral is "bacterial SSU rRNA". It matches the Rfam family "Bacterial small subunit ribosomal RNA", at positions 29 to 518 of the family's 1533-position model. The record is from RNAcentral.